Saccostrea echinata is the source of this 99-nucleotide long non-coding RNA. RefSeq lists it as uncharacterized. The transcript has 3 exons. The record is from RefSeq and is a predicted model, not a curated record. Lineage: Eukaryota; Metazoa; Mollusca; Bivalvia; Ostreida; Ostreidae.
UAGCAUACCAAGGGAUUUCUAUUUCGACAUCACAAGCAUACCAAGGGAUUUCUAUUUCGACAUCACAAGCAUACCAAGGGAUUUCUAUUUCGACAUCAC